AUUGAACGCUGGCGGCAGGCCUAACACAUGCAAGUCGAACGGUAACAGGAAGAAGCUUGCUUCUUUGCUGACGAGUGGCGGACGGGUGAGUCAUGUCUGGGAAACUGCCUGAUGGAGGGGGAUAACUACUGGAAACGGUAGCUAAUACCGCAUAACGUCGCAAGACCAAAGAGGGGGACCUUCGGGCCUCUUGCCAUCGGAUGUGCCCAGAUGGGAUUAGCUAGUAGGUGGGGUCACGGCUUACCUAGGCGACGAUCCCUAGCUGGUCUGAGAGGAUGACCAGCCACACUGGAACUGAGACACGGUCCAGACUCCUACGGGAGGCAGCAGUGGGGAAUAUUGCACAAUGGGCGCAAGCCUGAUGCAGCCAUGCCGCGUGUAUGAAGAAGGCCUUCGGGUUGUAAAGUACUUUCAGCGGGGAGGAAGGGAGUAAAGUUAAUACCUUUGCUCAUUGACGUUACCCGCAGAAGAAGCACCGGCUAACUCCGUG
RNAcentral lists this ribosomal RNA (490 nucleotides) under uncultured bacterium. Its description in RNAcentral is "partial 16S ribosomal RNA". It matches the Rfam family "Bacterial small subunit ribosomal RNA", at positions 30 to 507 of the family's 1533-position model. The record is from RNAcentral.